This 113-nucleotide Y RNA is filed under the name Propithecus coquereli (Coquerel's sifaka). Its description in RNAcentral is "Y RNA (ENSPCOG00000003584.1)". It matches the Rfam family "Y RNA". Rfam says of the family: Y RNAs are components of the Ro ribonucleoprotein particle (Ro RNP), in association with Ro60 and La proteins. The Y RNAs and Ro60 and La proteins are well conserved, but the function of the Ro RNP is not known. In humans the RNA component can be one of four small RNAs -- hY1, hY3, hY4 and hY5. The record is from RNAcentral. Lineage: Eukaryota; Metazoa; Chordata; Mammalia; Primates; Indriidae.
GGGUGGUCCGAAGGUAGUGAGUUAUCUCAAUCAGUUGUUCAUAGUCAGUUACAGACUGAACUCCUUGUUGUGUUCUUUCCCCUCUUCUCACUCCUGCACUUGACUAGUAUCAA